UACGGAGGGUGCGGGCGUUAUCCGGAAUUACUGGGCGUAAAGCGUGCGUAGUCGGCUUUUUAAGUCGGGUGUGAAAUCCCCGGGCUCAACCUGGGAAUUGCAUUCGAUACUGGAUCGCUAGAGUUCGGCAGAGGAAGGCGGAAUUCCCGGUGUAGCGGUGAAAUGCGUAGAUAUCGGGAGGAACAUCAGUGGCGAAGGCGGCCUUCUGGUCCAGUACUGACACUCAAGUGCGAAAGCGUGGGGAGCAAACAGG
This 253-nucleotide ribosomal RNA is filed under the name uncultured bacterium. RNAcentral describes it as "partial 16S ribosomal RNA". It matches the Rfam family "Bacterial small subunit ribosomal RNA", at positions 524 to 776 of the family's 1533-position model. The record is from RNAcentral.